Molecule: long non-coding RNA, 1093 nt
Organism: Aquila chrysaetos chrysaetos
Lineage: Eukaryota; Metazoa; Chordata; Aves; Accipitriformes; Accipitridae
Exons: 6
Source: RefSeq, a predicted model, not a curated record
GCGGUGGCGGGGUCCCGCUCCCGGUAGCGGUCCCGCCCGGCCCUCGGCAGGCAGGUGUGGUGGGGCCCGGGGCUGCUGCGGCCUAGCCCGGCCCGGCCGGAGAGAAGAGCGGAGCGGAGCGCUGCCGGCGCCGGCUCGCAGCCGCCUGAGGGAAGAGGCGCGGCGCAGCCCGGCGCUCCCCGCGCCCCCGCCGCAGCACAGCUCGGCCGCCGCCUGACCCGCCGCCCCGGGCCCCGCGGCGGCCGCCGAGCACCUGAGGCCUCCGCCCGCAGCGGCCGGGGCUGGGGAGGUGGGUGCAGCCUACCAUCCAGCCAGCAGCCCAGGGAUGCCUGUGGACCCACAUGAGCCAGCACCGAUAAGGACCCUUUCAUGCCAUGGUGGACUCCAGAGAUGUAGGAACCCCUGUCUUGGAGGCUACAGAAACAGGGUCUCAAAAGCUGAAUUGCUCUAAAUCCACAUGCCAAAGCGGAACCUGUUUUUCCUGACUCUGUGCCCUGCACUCAGCUAUCAGUCUUGCCUGCAAUGCUGUAAAGCAGAUAUUGCUGUGGAAGAGCCUGGCUGAUGAGACACACAGUUCCUACUCAUCUCCUUGAGUAUCAAGUGGUGUCAACUGGGAUGACUGGAGAAGCCCAUCUCUUCCCCUCGUCCUCUGAGAUCAGACUUUUCUGGAGGAACUGCCAUUGCCUUGCUGGGAGGCCGAAGCGGUGAGGUGCAGACCCCCGGGUGCCUUGCCAGGGAUUUGUUAGAUGGAAGCCUAGGCAAUGAAGAAAGUAAGGAAAUCUCACCGGGAGCAACACCCACGUGCAGGUACCAAACGCCUGCAUGCACCUGAAUUCAAUUGAUGCAAAGAAGCUGAAUUUAAAAUGCACUACAGAACAAAACAGGUCCAGCUGGAGGAUUUUCUGUCAGAGAAAGGAGAAGCCUGGGGAAGCAGCAGGCAGAAACACUGAGCUGUGACACAUUCCUCCUGUCUGAGCAUUGUCAUUUUGGCUUGUGGCCUGCUGAUGGUAAGACAGAAUGACUACACCUUCUGGCUCCCGCAGCCCUCCAUCUGUCUGUGUACCUCUUCCUUCUUUGAGAACCAGGGUCCACA